CAUUUCCAGCAGCUUGGCUGUGUCCAGUGCAGCCAGCAACAGAGGUCCAGCAUUCACUAUGAUGUAAGAGCCACUUGUUGGGUCAUCACUGUUCUCUCUGUAACGGACCUGUCAGACAGGGAGCAGCCUUACGGCAGGAAGCUCUGUGCUCCAGACACAGGCAAAACAAUGGGAAUAGCAUUUUGUGUAUUGACAUCAGGGACUUCGCAGCAUAAUGCAUAAUUCAGUCAGCUGCUGCUUCCAUCAAAAAGUCCACGAGGAUGCAAAGAGCACAGUAGCAGGCUCACAGCUGAAUCAGAUCCCACAGAAGCAGGCGUGCCGUGCAAUUUCCUCCCACCUCAAAUGCGUAUUUCAUAACAGGGAGCGGUAUUUUUAACCAUUUUUACAUUUCUCUCUCCCCAUUAGGUUCCUUUGAAGUUGCUCAGCUUUUUUUUUCUGGCUGUUUCAAAUCCAAGCACACUGGCAGCAUUACGUGCUCGGCCAAUUCAGUGCUCCCUCACCAGCUUUCCAAGGCAUUUGCUUGCUUAAAGCAGGAGCGUGUUUGUUCAGAUGCCCUGGGAGCCCACUCCUGUGUGAACUCACCUGGAAGGAGAGUUUAUCUCCUAUGCUGUGUUUGCAUAGCUCCUAAGAUAAGCCAUCAAAAGCGGUUUCUUUGCUGGGAGGGGAGGGGGGGAGAGGAGGAGGAUCCAUAUAGGUAUCGUUUGUCAAAACACGAGGCCAGGUGAUGUGCUGUGAAGCACCUGGAAACACAGGUAGGCUAUUUUGGAGAACCUGAUGAUUUCAAAUCAAAGCAGACGCAACCGUGGAAUGCGACAAAGAAUUUCCACCCCAAAAAUUGUCUGCUACUGCAUGACUGCACAAUCUUCCUUGGCCUCCUCAAGGCACCCAGUGCAGCCAGGAGACCCAAGGGGCAUUUUCGUGACAAAUACAGACCAGGUUUUGCCCAAACCCUCCAGCCUACAAAGAUGACAGCUUCUGGUGUGUCACCUUCACCCCAGGGGGCUUGGUCAGGCUGCUGCGGCCUGUGAGGAGGAGUGCUAUCCUCCUCCUGGGUGGAUGGUGAGCCCUGGUCCUGCCUCCAGCUUUACCAGCUCGGGGGCCCUCUGAUUUAGGGGAAAUCCACACACUCCACCGUCUUGUCUCGCCACUGUGGCUGACACAGGCAAUAAGGGAGCGACCUGCAUGCUGGUGUAUUACAAAUGAUUUAUUGGUCUAAUAAAGAGCCUCAAAUUACCCACUGCCUCCUUCCUCUUCCCCAUUGCCCCAAGGACCAAUACAGCUACUGUACAAACAUUUCCUACCUCAUGUUAAGUAAUGUAACUGAGAAGAAAAACAAGUAGAUGUCCCCUCGUGGCCCCCUGGCCAGCGUGUUCAGCCACGGCGCCGGCACCAGGGCAGAAACACGUUGUUCCACACCUG
Long non-coding RNA from Gallus gallus (chicken), 1419 nucleotides. RefSeq lists it as uncharacterized. NCBI's taxonomy places the organism in Eukaryota, Metazoa, Chordata, Aves, Galliformes, Phasianidae. The transcript is spliced from 3 exons. The record is from RefSeq and is a predicted model, not a curated record.